RNAcentral lists this ribosomal RNA (327 nucleotides) under uncultured eukaryote. RNAcentral's name for it is "partial 18S ribosomal RNA". It matches the Rfam family "Eukaryotic small subunit ribosomal RNA", at positions 1470 to 1796 of the family's 1831-position model. The record is from RNAcentral.
CCCUUAGAUGUUCUGGGCCGCACGCGCGCUACACUGAUUCAUGCAACGAGUUUUGUCCUUGGCUGAAAGGCCUGGGUAAUCUUUGAACGUGAAUCGUGCUGGGGAUAGAUGAUUGCAAUUAUUCAUCUUCAACGAGGAAUUCCUAGUAAACGCAAGUCAUCAGCUUGCAUUGAUUACGUCCCUGCCCUUUGUACACACCGCCCGUCGCACCUACCGAUUGAAUGGUCCGGCGAAAUCUUCGGAUCUGAGAGAUGUUGGAUUAAUUUCUGACGCCUUUUGGAAAAGUCGCUUAAACCUUAUCAUUUAGAGGAAGGUGAAGUCGUANCA